Mus caroli (Ryukyu mouse) is the source of this 571-nucleotide non-coding RNA. NCBI's taxonomy places the organism in Eukaryota, Metazoa, Chordata, Mammalia, Rodentia, Muridae. The record is from RefSeq and is a predicted model, not a curated record.
GCCCCCCUUUGCCCUCUCUGCUUUGAUCAUGCCACAUGGCUAAGUCCUUUUGCUCUGGGGGAAAGAGAACCAGAAUCAGUUUUGGGUAGAUCUGAGUGGCUUCUCUGUGGCUUGGCUUGGGAUUACUUGGGACAUUGAAUAAACUGCCUUUAGCCUCACGGCUGUGGUUUCCCCAUCUUUGGAAAGCAUUCAAGGUACCCCCCUACUGAUUUGUUAGUAUUUUAAGUCCACAAGGAAAGAAAGAUGCUUUGAAAAUACAGAAUGCAGUGUUUUCCAAUUCAGACCCUAGGAUCCCUGCCUGAGCGGACAGGGUGCUUGCUGCCUUUGCAGGAUGCUGUUUUGGCUGAGGCUGGGAUAUGCUUAUCUCUGGAGACUUCUUGAACUCCAAGCUGACCCCAGUGCCAGAGCUGAGCAGGAUAAAAAGCUUCACAAGUAAAAAGCAUCGAAGGCAGCUCACCAGCAAAGCGGUAGAACAGAGCGUCCGAAGCAUCCUACGGGUAAGAACUCUGCCACUCAAGGUGUGAAAUGAAUUGUCCUCAGACUGAUGGAAAGGCCAUGUUUAGGCUCCUGG